This 450-nucleotide ribosomal RNA is filed under the name uncultured bacterium. RNAcentral's name for it is "partial 16S ribosomal RNA". It matches the Rfam family "Bacterial small subunit ribosomal RNA", at positions 354 to 796 of the family's 1533-position model. The record is from RNAcentral.
GUGGGGAAUUUUGGACAAUGGGCGAAAGCCUGAUCCAGCCAUGCCGCGUGCAGGAUGAAGGCCUUCGGGUUGUAAACUGCUUUUGUACGGAACGAAAAGACUCCUUCGAAUAAAGGGGGUCCAUGACGGUACCGUAAGAAUAAGCACCGGCUAACUACGUGCCAGCAGCCGCGGUAAUACGUAGGGUGCAAGCGUUAAUCGGAAUUACUGGGCGUAAAGCGUGCGCAGGCGGUUAUAUAAGACAGAUGUGAAAUCCCCGGGCUCAACCUGGGAACUGCAUUUGUGACUGUAUAGCUAGAGUACGGUAGAGGGGGAUGGAAUUCCGCGUGUAGCAGUGAAAUGCGUAGAUAUGCGGAGGAACACCGAUGGCGAAGGCAAUCCCCUGGACCUGUACUGACGCUCAUGCACGAAAGCGUGGGGAGCAAACAGGAUUAGAAACCCGGGUAGUCC